Molecule: ribosomal RNA, 253 nt
Filed under: uncultured bacterium
Lineage: Bacteria
Description: partial 16S ribosomal RNA
Rfam family: Bacterial small subunit ribosomal RNA
Source: RNAcentral
UACGUAGGCAGCAAGCGUUGUUCGGAUUUACUGGGCGUAAAGAGCGCGCAGGCGGUCGUUCAAGUCGCGUGUGAAAGCCCCCGGCUCAACUGGGGAGGGUCACGCGAUACUGAUCGACUCGAAGGCAGGAGAGGGUAGUGGAAUUCCCGGUGUAGUGGUGAAAUGCGUAGAUAUCGGGAGGAACACCAGUGGCGAAGGCGACUACCUGGCCUGUUCUUGACGCUGAGGCGCGAAAGCUAGGGGAGCAAACGGG